RNAcentral lists this ribosomal RNA (302 nucleotides) under uncultured bacterium. RNAcentral's name for it is "partial 16S ribosomal RNA". It matches the Rfam family "Bacterial small subunit ribosomal RNA", at positions 508 to 807 of the family's 1533-position model. The record is from RNAcentral.
GCAGCAGCCGCGGUAAUACAGAGGGUGCGAGCGUUAAUCGGAUUUACUGGGCGUAAAGCGUGCGUAGGCGGCUAAUUGAGUCGGAUGUGAAAUCCCCGAGCUUAACUUGGGAAUUGCAUUCGAUACUGGUUAGCUAGAGUGUGGGAGAGGAUGGUAGAAUUCCAGGUGUAGCGGUGAAAUGCGUAGAGAUCUGGAGGAAUACCGAUGGCGAAGGCAGCCAUCUGGCCUAACACUGACGCUGAGGUACGAAAGCAUGGGGAGCAAACAGGAUUAGAUACCCGAGUAGUCCCUGUCUCUUAUAC